UCAAGUGAAUAAGCGCACAUGGUGGAUGCCAUGGCGUCAGGAGGCGAUGAAGGACGUGCUAAUCUGCGAAAAGCUUAGGUAAGCCGAUAAGGGGCGCAAUAACCUAAGAUCUCCGAAUGGGGCAACCCGACAGUAAUGUCACUUAUAUCUUAAGAUAUAAGAGCGAACCAGGGGAAGUGAAACAUCUCAGUACCCUGAGGAAAAGAAAUCAACCGAGAUUUCCUAAGUAGCGGCGAGCGAACGGGAAAGAGCCCAAAAGUCAAUUAUGUACAAGUAGAACUGUAUGGAAAGGCAGAGGAAACAGAGUGAUACUCUCGUAUACGUAAGUGCAUAAAUGAUGAGCGUGAGUAGGGCGGGACACGUGGUAUCCUGUCUGAACAUGGGGGGACCAUCCUCCAAGGCUAAAUACUACCUGACGACCGAUAGUGAACCAGUACCGUGAGGGAAAGGCGAAAAGAACCCCUGUAAGGGGAGUGAAAUAGAAUCUGAAACCGUGUGCGUACAAGCAGUGGGAGCUCGAAAGAGUGACUGCGUACCUUUUGUAUAAUGGGUCAGCGAGUUAUCUGUAUUAGCGAGGUUAACUUUAAUGAGGGAGCCGUAGGGAAACCGAGUCUUAAUAGGGCGAGAAGUUGAUGCAGGUAGACCCGAAACCGAGUGAUCUAGUCCUGGACAGGCUGAAAGCAGGGUAACACCUGCCGGAGGGCCGAACCUACUGUCGUUGCAAAGCCAGAGGAUGAUCUGGGACUAGGGGUGAAAGGCCAAUCAAACCCGGUGAUAGCUGGUUCUCCCCGAAAGCUAUUUAGGUAGCGUCCUGCAGGGACGUAUGGGGGUAGAGCACUGUUAUAGGAAGGGGUUCAUUGUGAACUACCGACCUAUUGCAAACUACGAAUACCAUACAGUUGUAAGCAGGGGACACACAGUGGGUGCUAACGUUCAUUGUGAAGAGGGAAACAACCCGGACCGCCAGCUAAGGUCCCAAAGUUCUGAUUAAGUGGGAAACGAUGUGGGAAGGCAUAGACAGCCAGGAUGUUGGCUUAGAAGCAGCCAUCAUUAAAAGAAAGCGUAAUAGCUCACUGGUCGAGUCGGCCUGCGCGGAAGAUGUAACGGGGCUAAAAUCAGACACCGAAGCUGCGGAUUUGUAAUUUAUUACAAGUGGUAGGGGAGCGUUGUGUAAGCCUGAGAAGAUAAACUGGAAAGUUUAUUGGAGGUAUCACAAGUGCGAAUGCUGACGCAAGUAACGAUAAAACGAGUUAAAUGCUCGUUCGCCGGAAGACCAAGGUUUCCUGUCCAACGUUAAACGGGGCAGGGUUAGUCGGAGCCUAAGGCGAGGAUGAAAAUCGUAGUCGAAGGGAAACGGGUUAAUAUUCCCGUACCUUAAUAAGUUGCGAUGUGGUGACGGAGGAGGAAGAGUUAGCCUACUGAUGGUAUGUAGGUGAAAGGUGGUAGGUAGCAUGAUGGGUUAAAAGACACCAUGCAAUGAUCUGAGAGCCGAGACGAAGUAUCUACGGAUAUGAAGUAACUUGAACCAGACUUCCAGGAAAAGCCACUAAGCAUCAGACUUAUUAAGUCCGUACCCCAAACCGACACAGGUGGUCGGGUAGAAGAUACCAAGGCGCUUGGGAGAACUCGGGUGAAGGAACUAGGCAAAAUUGUACCGUAACUUCGGGAGAAGGUACGCUGUAGGGUGUGAAGAGCGCACGCUUGGAGCAUCAAACAGCCGCAGAUAAAUGGUGGCUGGGACUGUUUAACAAAAACACAGCACUCUGCAAACCUGAAAGGGGAAGUAUAGGGUGUGACACCUGCCCGGUGCCGGAAGGUUAAAUGAUGAGGUUAGAGCAAUCGAAGCCUCUGAGUGAAGCCCCGGUAAACGGCGGCCGUAACUAUAACGGUCCUAAGGUAGCGAAAUUCCUUGUCGGGCAAGUUCCGACCUGCACGAAUGGUGUAACCAUGGCCACGCUGUCUCCACCCGAGACCCAGUGAAACCGAAAUCGCUGUGAAGAUGCAGUGUACCCGCGGCUAGACGGAAAGACCCCGUGAACCUUUACUGCAGCUUGACACUGAACCUUGAACCUGUUUGUGCAGGAUAGGCGGGAGACGUAGAAGUAGAGACGCCAGUUUCUAUGGAGUCGACCUUGAAAUACCGCCCUGACAUGUUUGAUGUUCUAACUUGAAGUAAACAAACUUAAGGACAGUGUCUGGUGGGAAGUUUGACUGGGGCGGUCUCCUCCCAAAGAGUAACGGAGGAGCACGAAGGUCGGCUGAUCACGGUCGGAAACCGUGAGGUCAGUGCAAUGGCAAAAGCCGGCUUGACUGCGAGAGCAACAACUCGAGCAGGUGCGAAAGCAGGUCAUAGUGAUCCGGUGGUUCCAUAUGGACGGGCCAUCGCUCAACGGAUAAAAGGUACUCUGGGGAUAACAGGCUGAUACCGCCCAAGAGUUCAUAUCGACGGCGGUGUUUGGCACCUCGAUGUCGGCUCAUCACAUCCUGGGGCUGAAGUUGGUCCCAAGGGUAUGGCUGUUCGCCAUUUAAAGUGGUACGCGAGCUGGGUUCAAAACGUCGUGAGACAGUUUGGUCCCUAUCUACCGCGGGCGUUGGAUGAUUGAAGGGGAUUGCUCCUAGUACGAGAGGACCGGAGUGAACGAGCCUCUGGUUUACGGGUUGUCAUGCCAAUGGCACGGCCCGGCAGCCAAGCCCGGAACUGAUAACCGCUGAAAGCAUCUAAGCGGGAAGCAGGCCCUAAGAUGAGUCAUCCCUGACUAUAAGUCAAUAAAGACCGUUGAAGACUACGACGUUGAUAGGCUGGAUGUGGAAGCUCUGUGAGGAGUGAAGCUUGCCAGUACUAAUGAUCUGAACGUCUUGACCAU
This 2864-nucleotide ribosomal RNA is filed under the name metagenome. Its description in RNAcentral is "bacterial LSU rRNA". It matches the Rfam family "Bacterial large subunit ribosomal RNA". The record is from RNAcentral.